This 505-nucleotide ribosomal RNA is filed under the name uncultured bacterium. RNAcentral's name for it is "partial 16S ribosomal RNA". It matches the Rfam family "Bacterial small subunit ribosomal RNA", at positions 29 to 524 of the family's 1533-position model. The record is from RNAcentral.
AACGAACGCUGGCGGCGUGCUUAACACAUGCAAGUCGAACGCGAAAGUUUUCUUCGGAAGACGAGUAGAGUGGCGCACGGGCGAGUAACGCGUAAGUAAUCUGCCCUGGUAUCUGGGAUAACCCACCGAAAGGUGUGCUAAUACCGGAUACGCUGAGCAAUCAGGAAAGGUGGCCUCUUCAUGAAAGCUACUGUACCAGGAGGAGCUUGCGUACCAUUAGCUAGUUGGUAGGGUAAUGGCCUACCAAGGCAACGAUGGUUAGCGGGUCUGAGAGGAUGAUCCGCCACACUGGAACUGAAACACGGACCAGACUCCUACGGGAGGCAGCAGUGGGGAAUAUUGGACAAUGGGCGAAAGCCUGAUCCAGCCAUGCCGCGUGUGUGAAGAAGGUCUUCGGAUUGUAAAGCACUUUAAGUUGGGAGGAAGGGCAGUAAGUUAAUACCUUGCUGUUUGACGUUACAACAGAAUAAGCACCGGCUAACUUCGUGCCAGCAGCCGCGGUAAU